RNAcentral lists this ribosomal RNA (1067 nucleotides) under Ammonia sp. RNAcentral describes it as "SSU rRNA". It matches the Rfam family "Eukaryotic small subunit ribosomal RNA", at positions 1160 to 1828 of the family's 1831-position model. Lineage: Eukaryota; Foraminifera; Rotaliida; Rotaliidae. The record is from RNAcentral.
AAGGGCACCACAAGAACGCGUGGAGCAUGUGGCUUAAUUUGACUCAACGCGGGAAAUCUUACCGGGUCCGGACACACUGAGGAUUGACAGAUAUACGCUACGUUGUUACUUUCGGGUGCACGUGGCUCAAAGAUGCUAGUUCUUUCAUGAUUAUGUGAUAGGUGGUGCAUGGCCGUUCUUAGUUCGUGGAGUGAUCUGUCUGCUUAAUUGCGUAUCAAUAAUAGAGACCUAGUAUACGCGUAUUACUCGUGUGGUAGUGACCCCCUUCUCACGGAGGCGCGUGUCGCACAUACGGUAUACGCACUGGUCUCAGAUAGCAACGAACGUGACCGUAUUCUAUUGUUGCAGUGAAUUAUACGUGUGCUUUACCGCACACAUUCCCACUGCUUAGUGUGCGCUGCCAGUACUUGUUGCUGCUGCGUCACACAUUAAACUAUAGAGACCGCUGUUUCUUCUUUAAACCAGAGGAAGGAUACGGCAAUAACAGGUCUGUGAUGCCCUCAGAUGUUCCGGGCUGCACACGUGCUACAAUGAUCAUUGCACUGUGCAUCUAACCCAAUGUGCGCGGACGCCACGAUACGUAUUUGCCUUCGGGCAUUUUAUGUAUUCGCUUGUGCGACUGCGCCGAACCUACUUCGAAAGUAAAAUUUUUAAGUGGGUAAUCCAUUAGAAGUAAUGACUCGCAUAGACCAUGGCACACUAUAUGUACGCGCAGGUCUACCCGGCUCGCCUUUGUGUGAGUGCAGUGCGUAGCUUGUUGUUUCGUACGUGNCNCUCCGUAUUAAUUCGUACGUGGGGAUAGAUCAUUGUUUAAUUGUUGGUCUCGGUCUUAACUAGGAAUGCCUUGUACGGGUCUUUGGUUCAACAUACCACCCGGAAUACGUNCCUGCCCUUUGUACACACCGCCCGUCGCUCUUACCGAUGGAUUAUACUAUGAAUCUAUAGGACUGCCAAAGCUUUGCGGCGUGUUCGCACACCGCGCUUAGUGGAAAUAUAUAUGAAUAGUGUGAUCUAAAGGAAAGAGAAGUCGUAACAAGGCAUCGGUAGGUGAACCUGCAGAAGGAUCA